This 1495-nucleotide ribosomal RNA is filed under the name Nostoc sp. GT001. Its description in RNAcentral is "bacterial SSU rRNA". It matches the Rfam family "Bacterial small subunit ribosomal RNA". The record is from RNAcentral. Lineage: Bacteria; Bacillati; Cyanobacteriota; Cyanophyceae; Nostocales; Nostocaceae.
AAAACGGAGAGUUUGAUCCUGGCUCAGGAUGAACGCUGGCGGUAUGCUUAACACAUGCAAGUCGAACGGUGUCUUCGGACAUAGUGGCGGACGGGUGAGUAACGCGUGAGAAUCUGGCUUCAGGUCUGGGACAACCACUGGAAACGGUGGCUAAUACCGGAUGUGCCGAAAGGUGAAAGGCUUGCUGCCUGAAGAUGAGCUCGCGUCUGAUUAGCUAGUUGGAAGUGUAAUGGACUCCCAAGGCGACGAUCAGUAGCUGGUCUGAGAGGACGAUCAGCCACACUGGGACUGAGACACGGCCCAGACUCCUACGGGAGGCAGCAGUGGGGAAUUUUCCGCAAUGGGCGAAAGCCUGACGGAGCAAUACCGCGUGAGGGAGGAAGGCUCUUGGGUCGUAAACCUCUUUUCUCAGGGAAGAACACAAUGACGGUACCUGAGGAAUAAGCAUCGGCUAACUCCGUGCCAGCAGCCGCGGUAAUACGGAGGAUGCAAGCGUUAUCCGGAAUGAUUGGGCGUAAAGCGUCCGCAGGUGGCAAUGUAAGUCUGCUGUUAAAGAGUCUAGCUCAACUAGAUAAGAGCAGUGGAAACUACAUAGCUAGAGUACGUUCGGGGCAGAGGGAAUUCCUGGUGUAGCGGUGAAAUGCGUAGAGAUCAGGAAGAACACCAGUGGCGAAGGCGCUCUGCUAGACACGUAACUGACACUGAGGGACGAAAGCUAGGGGAGCGAAUGGGAUUAGAUACCCCAGUAGUCCUAGCCGUAAACGAUGGAUACUAGGCGUGGCUUGUAUCGACCCGAGCCGUGCCGUAGCUAACGCGUUAAGUAUCCCGCCUGGGGAGUACGCUAGCAACGGUGAAACUCAAAGGAAUUGACGGGGGCCCGCACAAGCGGUGGAGUAUGUGGUUUAAUUCGAUGCAACGCGAAGAACCUUACCAAGGCUUGACAUGUCGCGAAUCUUCUUGAAAGAGAAGAGUGCCUUCGGGAGCGCGAACACAGGUGGUGCAUGGCUGUCGUCGAGCUCGUGUCGUGAGAUGUUGGGUUAAGUCCCGCAACGAGCGCAACCCUCGUUUUUAGUUGCCAGCAUUAAGUUGGGCACUCUAGAGAGACUGUCUUAGGUGACAAACCGGAGGAAGGUGGGGAUGACGUCAAGUCAGCAUGCCCCUUACGCCUUGGGCUACACACGUACUACAAUGCUCCGGACAGAGGGCAGCAAGCAUGCGAAUGCAAGCAAAUCCCGUAAACCGGAGCUCAGUUCAGAUCGCAGGCUGCAACUCGCCUGCGUGAAGGAGGAAUCGCUAGUAAUUGCAGGUCAGCAUACUGCAGUGAAUUCGUUCCCGAGGCCUUGUACACACCGCCCGUCACACCAUGGAAGCUGGUAGUGCCCGAAGUCAUUACUCCAACCAUUCGUGGAGGAGGAUGCCUAAGGCAGGACUGGUGACUGGGGUGAAGUCGUAACAAGGUAGCCGUACCGGAAGGUGUGGCUGGAUCACCUCCUUU